Psammomys obesus (fat sand rat) is the source of this 330-nucleotide non-coding RNA. The record is from the annotation of a RefSeq genome assembly. NCBI's taxonomy places the organism in Eukaryota, Metazoa, Chordata, Mammalia, Rodentia, Muridae.
GGUCAUGGAGCCAGUAUGAACUGACUCAGUCAAACUCUGUGUCGGGGUCUCUAGGAAGCACAGUCAGCCUCUCCUGCAAGCGCAGCAGUGGAAACAUUGGAAGCAGCUAUGUGAGCUGGUACCAGCAGCACGAGGGAAGAUCCCCCACUACUGUGAUAUAUGGUGAUGAUCAGCGACCAUCCGGGAUUCCUGAUCGGUUCUCAGGCUCUAUUGACAGCUCCUCCAACUCAGCCACUCUGACCAUCAGGAAUCUGCAGACUGAGGAUGAGGCUCACUACUUCUGUCAGUCUGGUGGUAGCAAUAUUCACAGUGAUGUGAACCAUGGAGGAA